Molecule: ribosomal RNA, 465 nt
Filed under: Vreelandella stevensii
Lineage: Bacteria; Pseudomonadati; Pseudomonadota; Gammaproteobacteria; Oceanospirillales; Halomonadaceae
Description: partial 16S ribosomal RNA
Rfam family: Bacterial small subunit ribosomal RNA
Source: RNAcentral
CCUACGGGUGGCAGUAGUGGGGAAUAUUGGACAAUGGGCGAAAGCCUGAUCCAGCCAUGCCGCGUGUGUGAAGAAGGCCUUCGGGUUGUAAAGCACUUUCAGUGGGGAAGAAAGCCUUGGGGCUAAUACCCUCGAGGAAGGACAUCACCCACAGAAGAAGCACCGGCUAACUCCGUGCCAGCAGCCGCGGUAAUACGGAGGGUGCGAGCGUUAAUCGGAAUUACUGGGCGUAAAGCGCGCGUAGGCGGUCUGAUAAGCCGGUUGUGAAAGCCCCGGGCUCAACCUGGGAACGGCAUCCGGAACUGUCAGGCUAGAGUCCAGGAGAGGAAGGUAGAAUUCCCGGUGUAGCGGUGAAAUGCGUAGAGAUCGGGAGGAAUACCAGUGGCGAAGGCGGCCUUCUGGACUGACACUGACGCUGAGGUGCGAAAGCGUGGGUAGCAAACAGGAUUAGAUACCCGGGUAGUC